AGGUCCAUCCUGCUGGUAACUUCGUUCUGCACAUUUUCUAUGUGUGUAAGGAGAUUGAGCUGCCACUGAAGAUAUGAAGUUGAUAUUAAAUCACAGAGGAUUGCACUUACUCGGAUUUUUCAUCAACUGCUAACCUACUAAUGUUGCUCAUUAAGCAAGGCAAGCUCUAGCACUAGGAGCAGAUUCAAAAAGAGUAAGACAGCGUUCUGAGGAACUGGUGCAGGAAGAGCUCCUCCACACCUUCAGCGUUCCUGCCCACCCAGGAGAAGAAACACCAUUAAGGACAUGUCAUGGGACCAAUUCACCACAUGCCUAUUAUUUGAGAAAACCUAGUUAUUUCCUGCCUGGAGGCUGAAGUUAAAUUCAAUAUGCAGAAUAUGCUAUCUGAAGAUCCUCUAGCAUAGAAGAAGGCACCAAGUAGACAGCAUGGUGGAUUGAGAGUCAAAAGGCAUAGAUUUCAUCUCAGUCUGCCUCAUCAGUAAAAUAAAGGCAUCACAGGUAGUGUUCUAAGACCCCACCUGCUCUACAAUGAGUCGAAUAUGCAGAACUGCCAGGUCAGUAGCAUGCAAGUUCAUAAUGCAGAUCUACUCCGAUUGCCACAAAUAAGCCUAGCUAGAAAUGGAUACAGAGGAACAGACAGAGGCUAAUUAAUUCUUCUCCAGGAAAAAGUCACACCUCUUCCCUUCCAGUAGGAUAGUAAUUUUGUUGAUAAAUAUAUGCUAAUGUAUUUGUCUAAGUAAUCAAUGUGGAAAAUAAAAAUGUAACAGUGAAAAAAUAUUUUAAAAUUUUA
This 790-nucleotide non-coding RNA is filed under the name Pan troglodytes (chimpanzee). Lineage: Eukaryota; Metazoa; Chordata; Mammalia; Primates; Hominidae. The record is from RNAcentral.